AGGAAUAUUGGUCAAUGGGCGCAAGCCUGAACCAGCCAAGUAGCGUGAGGGAAGACUGCCCUAUGGGUUGUAAACCUCUUUUGUGCGGGGAUAAAGUGUGGGACGUGUCCCAUAUUGCAGGUACCGCACGAAUAAGGACCGGCUAAUUCCGUGCCAGCAGCCGCGGUAAUACGGAAGGUCCGGGCGUUAUCCGGAUUUAUUGGGUUUAAAGGGAGCGCAGGCCGUCCUUUAAGCGUGCUGUGAAAUGCCGCGGCUCAACCGUGGCACUGCAGCGCGAACUGGAGGACUUGAGUACGCACGAGGUAGGCGGAAUUCGUGGUGUAGCGGUGAAAUGCUUAGAUAUCACGAAGAACUCCGAUUGCGAAGGCAGCUUACCGGAGCGCAACUGACGCUGAGGCUCGAAAGCGCGGGUAUCGAACAGGAUUAGAUACCCUGGUAGUCCGCGCGGUAAACGAUGGAUGCCCGCCGUUGGGUUUUAGAAUUCAGCGGCCAAGCGAAAGCGUUAAGCAUCCCACCUGGGGAGUACGCCGGCAACGGUGAAACUCAAAGGAAUUGACGGGGGCCCGCACAAGCGGAGGAACAUGUGGUUUAAUUCGAUGAUACGCGAGGAACCUUACCCGGGCUUGAAUUGCAGGAGAACGAUCCAGAGAUGGCGAGGCCCUUCGGGGCUCCUGUGAAGGUGCUGCAUGGUUGUCGUCAGCUCGUGCCGUGAGGUGUCGGCUCAAGUGCCAUAACGAGCGCAACCCCUGUCCAUAGUUGCCAUCAGGUCGUGCUGGGCACUCUGUGGAGACUGCCGCCGUAAGGUGUGAGGAAGGUGGGGAUGACGUCAAAUCAGCACGGCCCUUACGUCCGGGGCUACACACGUGUUACAAUGGGGCAUACAGCGAGUUGGAUGUGCGCAAGUACGUCCGGAUCAAUAAAGUGCCUCUCAGUUCGGACUGGGGUCUGCAACCCGACCCCACGAAGCUGGAUUCGCUAGUAAUCGCGCAUCAGCCAUGGCGCGGUGAAUACGUUCCCG
Molecule: ribosomal RNA, 1018 nt
Filed under: uncultured bacterium
Lineage: Bacteria
Description: bacterial SSU rRNA
Rfam family: Bacterial small subunit ribosomal RNA
Source: RNAcentral